RNAcentral lists this ribosomal RNA (381 nucleotides) under Triticum aestivum (bread wheat). RNAcentral describes it as "partial small subunit ribosomal RNA". Lineage: Eukaryota; Viridiplantae; Streptophyta; Magnoliopsida; Poales; Poaceae. The record is from RNAcentral.
AUGAGCAAAUUCUCUUUUGCUCAACAACAAUUAGAGUAUUUGGGUCAUAUUAUCUCAGAUAAAGGGGUGGCUACAGAUCCUGAGAAAACUAAAGUGAUGUUGGAGUGGCCUGUUCCUCAAAAUGUCACAGAACUCCGAGGAUUUCUGGGUCUCACCGGGUAUUACAGGAAGUUUGUGCAGCAUUAUGGUAUUAUUGCAAAACCUCUGACACAGCUACUGCAGAAAAAUAAUUUUGCAUGGUCCGAGGCGGCUCAACAGACUUUUGAUAAACUGAAAGUUGCUAUGUCCACUACUCCUGUGUUGUUGUUACCCGACUUUGAUAAGCAGUUCACCAUUGAAACAGAUGCAUGCUCAACGGGUAUUGGAGCUGUUCUUUUGUAA